UGCGGGCUGAUCGGAUGUCGGGAGAUGGUAUGCCAUCAUCGGAGAAGGUGCACAUAGUGAAGACUGAAGGUGAGAGCAAGGAGUUGCCGAUAAACGAUGGUGCUGGUCUCUGCUCGGCACUGGAAGAGAGAGACCUACAAAGAAAGUCCCGUCGGAGGUAGCUCUGGCGAGGAUCCUUCGACGCUCAAGUCAGUGAGGUAACUCAAUAUAGUGAAAGAGCGGCAGAGUUUUGGCACUG
This 238-nucleotide long non-coding RNA is filed under the name Elaeis guineensis (African oil palm). Its description in RNAcentral is "long non-coding RNA (EGUI_LNC021950)". The record is from RNAcentral. Lineage: Eukaryota; Viridiplantae; Streptophyta; Magnoliopsida; Arecales; Arecaceae.